This 870-nucleotide long non-coding RNA is filed under the name Hordeum vulgare. RNAcentral describes it as "long non-coding RNA (HVUL_LNC009475)". The record is from RNAcentral. Lineage: Eukaryota; Viridiplantae; Streptophyta; Magnoliopsida; Poales; Poaceae.
UUUUUUGCACGAACACACACACACAUUCUUAUAUUUGAACUUCUUUCUCUAUCUCUUAUGUGCAAGAAAAGAGAAAAAUAAAAACCAUCCAUUUUUGCACGAACACACACAUACACACACAUUUUUAUAUUUAAACCUCUUUCUUUUUCUCUUAUGUGCAAACAAAGAGAAAAAUAAAAACCAUCCAUUUUUUGCAUGAAAACACACACACACACACAAACGUACAGACAGAGAACGCAAGCACACACACGGAGUGGAAGGCUGGUGGUUGUUGUGGCCGAACUUCACUAUAUACAUAUGGCCUUUUCUUUAAAUGGACUGAAUAGAUCCCGUCCUUCAUAUGGUAUUUUUAUGCGACCCAGGCGUUCGCGGCGACGCGUGGAGGAGCUGGUUGUGCGACCCAGGCGACGAGGUUGUGAGAGUAGGUGGCGGCGCGACGAGGAAGGUGGGUGACGGUGCCAUUAUGAAGGGAGGCCAUCGCGACGGCGGGAUCCGGGGAUUGCGGCAGAUAGAUGGAUCCGACGGCGGGGUAGGGUGGUGGUAGAAGCAGGUGCAAGGUGACUGCUGCGGUUGAAGCAGGUGAGGGGCGACAGUGGCGUGGGCUGCUGGUCGGCGACGAGGCGCAUCACCGGGGCUAGGGCCGCCGCCAGUGACGACAGAGACGGGUUGGGGAGCAUCCGCGUAGGGUAGUUGCGGGAGGGUGGCAAGCCGGUGGAGGUGGGGCGCGAUUGGUGAUAAGGCCGCCGAUGGCGCGUUUAGUGGCACGGGCCAACGGCGGCGGCACGAUGUAGAGGAGAAUGCCAAUGGGAUCGGGGGAGAUUUUAGGAGCGGGUUCGUGGGGAAACUGGUGGGGUGGGAUUUUUUUUCUUC